GACGAACGCUGGCGGCGUGCCUAAUACAUGCAAGUUGAGCGCUGAAGGUUGGUACUUGUACCGACUGGAUGAGCAGCGAACGGGUGAGUAACGCGUGGGGAAUCUGCCUUUGAGCGGGGGACAACAUUUGGAAACGAAUGCUAAUACCGCAUAAAAACUUUAAACACAAGUUUUAAGUUUGAAAGAUGCAAUUGCAUCACUCAAAGAUGAUCCCGCGUUGUAUUAGCUAGUUGGUGAGGUAAAGGCUCACCAAGGCGAUGAUACAUCGCCGACCUGAGAGGGUGAUCGGCCACAUUGGGACUGAGACACGGCCCAAACUCCUACGGGAGGCAGCAGUAGGGAAUCUUCGGCAAUGGACGAAAGUCUGACCGAGCAACGCCGCGUGAGUGAAGAAGGUUUUCGGGUCGUAAAACUCUGUUGGUAGAGAAGAACGUUGGUGAGAGUGGAAAGCUCAUCAAGUGACGGUAACUACCCAGAAAGGGACGGCUAACUACGUGCCAGCCGCCGCGGUAA
This 513-nucleotide ribosomal RNA is filed under the name uncultured bacterium. Its description in RNAcentral is "partial 16S ribosomal RNA". It matches the Rfam family "Bacterial small subunit ribosomal RNA", at positions 28 to 523 of the family's 1533-position model. The record is from RNAcentral.